Molecule: ribosomal RNA, 468 nt
Filed under: uncultured bacterium
Lineage: Bacteria
Description: partial 16S ribosomal RNA
Rfam family: Bacterial small subunit ribosomal RNA
Source: RNAcentral
GACGAACGCUGGCGGCGUGCUUAACACAUGCAAGUCGAACGGAAAGGCCCUGCUUUUGUGGGGUUCCCGAGUGGGGAACGGGUGUGAAACAUGUGAGUAACCCUCCUUGUACUGGGUAAUAACUUGAGAAAACUGCGACUACUACCUACGUGGUGCUCGUGCUGGUGGGGGGGGUUCGGAAAUUUCAGGCGGUGGGGAAUGUACGUGCGGCUAACUAGCUGGUGGGGGGGGGAGUGGCUUACCAAGGCUUUGGCGGAUGGCCGGCCUGAGAGGGUGGACGGGCACAUGGGGACUGAGAUACGGCGCAGACUCCUACGGGAGGCAGCAGUGGGGAACAUUGCACAAUCAGCGGAAGCCUGAGGAAGAGACGCCGCGUGCGGGAUGAAGGCCUUCGGGUUGUAAACCGCUGUAGCCUGUGACGAAGCUUGAGUGACGGUAAUGGGUGAAGAAGCACCGGCUAACUACGUG